AGAGUUUGAUCAUGGCUCAGGAUGAACGCUGGCGGUAUGCCUUAUACAUGCAAGUCGUACGAGAGUUUUUAACUCUAGUGGCGGACGGGUGAGUAACACGUAAGAAUUUGCCUUUAGGAGGGGGACAACAACUGGAAACGGUUGCUAAUACCCCAUAUGCUUUCGAGUGAAAUGGAUUUCCGCCUAAAGAGAAGCUUGCGGCUGAUUAGCUUGUUGGUAGGGUAAUGGCCUACCAAGGCGACGAUCAGUAUCUGGUUUGAGAGGACGAUCAGACACACUGGAACUGAGACACGGUCCAGACUCCUACGGGAGGCAGCAGUAGGGAAUUUUCCGCAAUGGGCGAAAGCCUGACGGAGCAAUACCGCGUGAGGGAUGACUGCCUAUGGGUUGUAAACCUCUUUUUUCAGGGAGGAAUAAAUGACGUGUACCUGAAGAAUAAGCAUCGGCUAACUCCGUGCCAGCAGCCGCGGUAAGACGGAGGAUGCAAGUGUUAUCCGGAAUCACUGGGCGUAAAGCGUCUGUAGGUGGCUCGACAAGUCAACUGUUAAAUCUUGAAGCUCAACUUCGAAAUCGCAGUCGAAACUAUCGAACUAGAGUAUAGUAGAGGUAAAGGGAAUUUCCAGUGGAGCGGUGAAAUGCGUAGAGAUUGGAAAGAACACCGAUGGCGAAGGCACUUUACUGGGCUAUUACUGACACUCAGAGACGAAAGCUAGGGUAGCAAAUGGGAUUAGAUACCCCAGUAGUCCUAGCCGUAAACAAUGGAUACUAGGUGUUGAACAGAUCGACCUGUGCAGUACCAAAGCUAACGCGUUAAGUAUCCCGCCUGGGAAGUAUGCACGCAAGUGUGAAACUCA
This 854-nucleotide ribosomal RNA is filed under the name uncultured bacterium. Its description in RNAcentral is "bacterial SSU rRNA". It matches the Rfam family "Bacterial small subunit ribosomal RNA", at positions 8 to 903 of the family's 1533-position model. The record is from RNAcentral.